Molecule: long non-coding RNA, 3721 nt
Organism: Oncorhynchus masou masou (cherry salmon)
Lineage: Eukaryota; Metazoa; Chordata; Actinopteri; Salmoniformes; Salmonidae
Exons: 2
Source: RefSeq, a predicted model, not a curated record
GAUCAGCUGACACAAGCUAAAUAUUAGCACAUGAUGAGACAUCUCAAAGUGAAACUUAACUUAUCCAGUUAACUGGUUCAGUCGAAAGUGCACUAAUGCUCAACUUUGAGUGCUCUCAACACCUGCUGAGCAUUGUUUAAAGAAAGAUGUUGACUAUCUCAACUUGACUCACGAUCCUUAUUAUUCACAUAGUACCCUAACUCGAGGCAAGAAGAGGGUGUGAAAGUGCACUGACUCCUACAGGCUCCUCGUGAUGGUUCUCUCAACCAUGGAGCACAGCACCAGAAGACCUCCACGCUGCUGGCCUCCGGUGGCUCUUUUCCUCGUCUUCAUCCUCACCCAGCAGCUCUACGCCCUCAUUGUGUUACACGGCCAGUUGGUCAGCUCUAGUGAGGCCAACAUCAGCCCUUUCAAAUUCUGCCUCCAGGGACAAGAUGUUGGAGUUACCUGUGAUGAUCAACACAACAACAUGUCUACCACCGCUGGUGUAUUAGUGGAUAUCCUUAGGGUUCUGGUCAUUAUGAGUCUGUAUAUUCCACUGGUGCUGGUGCCCUUUGCCCUCAUGGCCUUUCUGUUUGCAGUCUGCUGUGAUGACAGAGGGGUGUUGUGGUUCAGUGUCAGCUGUCUGGCUGCUUCCAGCCUACUGAUGCUUGUGGGCCUCUGUGUGUUUGUGGGGCUCCACUUUAACUAUGUGUCAUUGGCUGAUAUGACAGCAGGGUACUAUGUCUGUGUGUUUGUUAAUGCUGAGCUGGUUUCAGCAGCUGUACUGACCUGGAUGACAGGGACGCGGCAGCUUAGAGAUAAAACGACAUCCAAUGAUAACUAAUAACCCAGUGGAGAGGCUUGCUGGUAACCAACAAGUGAUUGUCCUCCCUAGUGUUCAAAUAGGGGUUGCUGAACAUUUCCUCUUAACUGACCUGUAACAUUUGUUUGCUGGUCAGGAAAAACAUGUCAACUUUUGAUUUGUUUAUUUCAAGUUUUUCAAUGUGUUCAACAUGAUCAACCAAAAGGGUGUACAUUUUAAAUGACUGUCUAUAUAAUGUUUUUCAAGACAUACUAUUCAUAACUUUAUUUUGUCUGUUUUCAUGUUUGUGUUCUGUACAUGGAUGCAUAUUUUAAAUCAAAUUAAGUUUCCAAUAAACUCUGAUACAGAGAUACUUUGCUCUUUGACUACAACUACUAUAGUCCUACUGUACUGUGGUCGGUAAUGUUGACGACAAAAAUGCUAGUCAUUUUAAUAAAUCGACCACUAGCCUAAGUAAUUAAAAAAGAUAUUGCAUACCUUUUGGCUAACUGUCAUGUUCCAGUAAAUGAGUGUGAUAACCUACUUUACCUUAUAAUCAUUAAGUUAAAACCACCAAUUUUGCUCACGAGUCUCAAAUGUACAUGAUUGAUUUAUUCAUCAAAAUUGUGAAGUGUAUGACAUGCCUGUUGAUCAUAAGCCUAUGUUGAUGGUCAACAAAGAUUUCUCUAAUUUCUGUGAAUUUGGUCAGGUCACCAAAAAAGUGACAUAUUGCAGCUUUAAAACUAAAAUAAAUUUAAUCAAUAAAAGUGCCUUCAGAAUAUCCCAGUAGUCACAUUUUAUUCUUCAAUCAAAAUUAUAUAUUUUUUGUUUCUAUUACAAAGUAUGUCAUUACCCUUUUUACUGCUCUUAAAGGGGAAACAAAUCUUGAGCAGUUGCGCUUAAUAUUGUACAUGUCAUUAGUUGCACCUAGUGAGACAGUUUUUAGGCCCAAUGCCUUUUCUAAGACAGUGCAUAAACACUUCACAGAUUAAACCUAAUCCUGUAUUCAUAAAUGCUUUCAAUGGAGAUGUAUUUACUAACAUUACCAAGAACCCACUAUUAGCAGAGAAGGAAAUCAUUCAUGUUAUGGGUCCCAUUUGCCCCCAUUGACUAUUUUUAAUAUACUCUAGUCUACAUGACCUCACUGUGUAUCCCCCCCAUCUCAGUUUGUAAGGAAAGCAUCUCAAAGUGUUCUGUGGUUUAUCAUCAGGUGAAGAAUAUCUCCCUUACAAGCCUGAGGGCAUCAUCGUCUGCUGUGGGAGACUGUGACCGUGAGUGGUCCUCUGCUCCAACAUCCUGAGCCAAAUCCCCUGGACUAUCAGCAUCGUCGUGACCUGGUCCUGAACUCUGACCCUCAGGUCCCUGCUCUGUGUUGUUGUUUUGAGCGUACAGUAGAGUGUCCUCCUCGGCUACAUCGAUGUCCGUUUCUGAGACAUACGUCCUCUCCUGUGCAUCAGAGUCUGAGGACUCCGCCACCACGUCCAACUCAGACAGCCUCCUCUUCUUCUCCCUGACACAGUUGUUUUUUGCAUUCAUAGAGCAGCCCACCACACUCCUUUUGACCUGUAGGAAUGAAUGCAAUAUACAGGGUGAAUUGGAUAAAACAGACAAAUAGCUCAGUUAUAUCCACUAGGAAUUAUUUAAACCUCCCCACCAGAUGUUUCACAAUUUUGUUGUAGCCCUGAACUAGCUCACCUGAGUCACCUAUUCAAAGGCAUGAUGAUUACCUGAUGAGUUGAAUCAGGUGUGCUAGCUCUGGAUUAGAUCAAAUAACAGCUGGGGGUCCCCACUAGAGGUCCUUCAUACUGUGGUCUAAGCUAGUUAGCUGCAACCCCCCCAUACCCCUCAGUGAAUCAUCACCCAGUCUAUGGAACAUCACCUGUUUGUCAUCAUGAUGAGCUCCAUCUUCUCCACCUCCAAAUUCAUUCAAAUAACUGACAGCUGCCUCCACCAGCUCCUUUUCAUUCAUGCAGUAGAAGGCCACUCUGGACAGCAAGAGAGGGAAAAUUAAGUCCGAUGUGCAGAAAACAAAUGCUUUUCAUAUAGCCAUCAGGUUACUUUUAGUUGAAAACUAGAAAAGUUAGUGGUUGAAACCACACACUACAGAAAAAAAUUGCCGUUUUGAAAAUGCAGUAAAAUUGCACUAACUGGUAUUUUUCAGAAUAAACUGCAAAAUUACUGCAGUAAAAAAAAUAUUUUGGAAGCAAUAUAUAACUGCAGUACAGUGUAUUGCAGCUAUACUGCAUUCUGACCAGUGGAUGCUCCUCAGAGGAGGAAGGGGAGGACCAUUCUCCUCAGUGAAUUUCAUAAAAAAUUACAAUUGUAAAACAUUUUAAAAGUUAUCCUUUUUAGAUAAAACUAUAAAUAUAAUCACAUCAAAUAAUUGAUUAAAACACUAUUUUUGUGAGGUUGAAAAUAUGCUUGGCCUAUCAUGGGGGUGUCUAUGUUAAAAGCUACAUUUUGCAACAUAUGGUGUGACUAGCGGAAAGGCUGUGGCUGGCCUUGAGGUGUAGGCAGCUAUCAUGAGUUGUGGGAGACACGUACAGAACUUAGGCAGUUAAACAGACUGUCUUUUGUUAGAACUCAAACUUAGAAAUAACAGGAACCAGAUAACGGUGUCUAGGGUGUGAGCGCAUGGAUAUUCUACACAGCAACAGUUACCGUACAUCUAUCAACUGGAGCGCCCGGGGGCUGGUACCAGCUCGUGCGCCAACAAUCAACGAUAGGCUGGGUGAGUCUAAACCAUGCCCAGUCUCUACUCUGCGACAGGCCGGCUCAGAAGCAGGAACUACUUCUGUCAGAGUAUAUUAUAAUAAUUUUGUCAGGAACAAGUUCAGUUCUCUGUUUGCCCUGCGAGGUGUGACAGAGAGCCCGUAUAUAUACGAAAAUUGCAUUUACCACUUAUUGCUCAGCUAAUAAAAAAUAUAUAGCAUACAA